Molecule: ribosomal RNA, 501 nt
Filed under: uncultured bacterium
Lineage: Bacteria
Description: partial 16S ribosomal RNA
Rfam family: Bacterial small subunit ribosomal RNA
Source: RNAcentral
AUUGAACGCUGGCGGCAGGCUUAACACAUGCAAGUCGAGCGGAGAUGAGGUGCUUGCACCUUAUCUUAGCGGCGGACGGGUGAGUAAUGCUUAGGAAUCUGCCUAUUAGUGGGGGACAACAUUCCGAAAGGAAUGCUAAUACCGCAUACGUCCUACGGGAGAAAGCAGGGGAUCUUCGGACCUCGCGCCAAUAGAUGAGCCUAAGUCGGAUUAGCUAGUUGGUGGGGUAAAGGCCUACCAAGGCGACGAUCUGUAGCGGGUCUGAGAGGAUGAUCCGCCACACUGGGGCUGAGACACGGCCCAGACUCCUACGGGAGGCAGCAGUGGGGAAUAUUGGACAAUGGGGGGAACCCUGAUCCAGCCAUGCCGCGUGUGUGAAGAAGGCCUUAUGGUUGUAAAGCACUUUAAGCGAGGAGGAGGCUACUGAGACUAAUACUCUUGGAUAGUGGACGUUACUCGCAGAAUAAGCACCGGCUAACUCUGUGCCAGCAGCCGCCGUAA